This 566-nucleotide ribosomal RNA is filed under the name uncultured Aeromicrobium sp. RNAcentral's name for it is "bacterial SSU rRNA". It matches the Rfam family "Bacterial small subunit ribosomal RNA", at positions 118 to 698 of the family's 1533-position model. The record is from RNAcentral. Lineage: Bacteria; Bacillati; Actinomycetota; Actinomycetes; Propionibacteriales; Nocardioidaceae.
UGAGCAAUCUGCCCUUCUCUUUGGAAUAAGCGCGGGAAACUGCGUCUAAUGCCGAAUAUGACUUCGAAAGGCAUCUUUUGAAGUGGAAAGUUCCGGCGGAGAAGGAUGAGCUCGCGGCCUAUCAGCUAGUUGGUGAGGUAAUGGCUCACCAAGGCAAUGACGGGUAGCCGGCCUGAGAGGGUGACCGGCCACACUGGGACUGAGACACGGCCCAGACUCCUACGGGAGGCAGCAGUGGGGAAUAUUGGACAAUGGGCGAAAGCCUGAUCCAGCAACGCCGCGUGAGGGAUGACGGCCUUCGGGUUGUAAACCUCUUUCAGCUCCGACGAAGCGAAAGUGACGGUAGGUGCAGAAGAAGGACCGGCCAACUACGUGCCAGCAGCCGCGGUAAUACGUAGGGUCCGAGCGUUGUCCGGAAUUAUUGGGCGUAAAGGGCUCGUANGCGGUUUGUCACGUCGGGAGUGAAAACUCAGGGCUUAACCCUGAGCGUGCUUCCGAUACGGGCAGACUAGAGGUAUGCAGGGGAGAACGGAAUUCCUGGUGUANCGGUGGAAUGCGCAGAUAUC